GGGGAAUUUUGGACAAUGGGCGCAAGCCUGAUCCAGCCAUGCCGCGUGAGUGAAGAAGGCCUUCGGGUUGUAAAGCUCUUUCAGUCGGAAAGAAACGGUCUGCCCUAAUAAGGUGGGCUAAUGACGGUACCGACAGAAGAAGCACCGGCUAACUACGUGCCAGCAGCCGCGGUAAUACGUAGGGUGCGAGCGUUAAUCGGAAUUACUGGGCGUAAAGCGUGCGCAGGCGGCUUUGUAAGACAGAUGUGAAAUCCCCGGGCUCAACCUGGGAACUGCGUUUGUGACUGCAAGGCUAGAGUACGGUAGAGGGGGGUGGAAUUCCACGUGUAGCAGUGAAAUGCGUAGAGAUGUGGAGGAACACCGAUGGCGAAGGCAGCCCCCUGGGCCUGUACUGACGCUCAUGCACGAAAGCGUGGGGAGCAAAC
RNAcentral lists this ribosomal RNA (425 nucleotides) under uncultured bacterium. Its description in RNAcentral is "bacterial SSU rRNA". It matches the Rfam family "Bacterial small subunit ribosomal RNA", at positions 356 to 773 of the family's 1533-position model. The record is from RNAcentral.